RNAcentral lists this small RNA (282 nucleotides) under Sinorhizobium meliloti 2011. RNAcentral describes it as "putative ncRNA". The record is from RNAcentral. Lineage: Bacteria; Pseudomonadati; Pseudomonadota; Alphaproteobacteria; Hyphomicrobiales; Rhizobiaceae.
GUUGCCUUCGAUAACCCAUUCCGACUAUUGAGGAAAGGACUACUUGAUGAGCCGAAUUCUAGUUGUGAUGAUUGCGUUGCUUUCUGUUGCCGGCCUCACCGCGUGUGAUACGAUCGGCAAGGGUAAGGGUAAGGCCCCGCCGCCUGCUGCCGUCGAUACGGUAGAACCGGCGCCGGUAUACAAGUAACAGUGACUUUGCGCCGUGGGAGAGCUCAACGACCGCCCUCCCACGGCGCGUUAUUCAGGCUAGACCGGCUGUGAGACUGACGGCAUAGUACGCGU